Non-coding RNA from Arachis ipaensis, 1445 nucleotides. Lineage: Eukaryota; Viridiplantae; Streptophyta; Magnoliopsida; Fabales; Fabaceae. The record is from RefSeq and is a predicted model, not a curated record.
UAUAGCCUGAGAAGAAAUCCCUAACUUGUGGCCUACUCUCACUCCCACAGUCCCGCUCUCCUUUUUAAUUUUUCUUUUCUUAUUAUUACUCCACGAUAUAAAAGAAUGUGAGAAGAAGAUUUGUGUGAUUGGCGAGUGAAGGGAAGAUGAACGGAAGAGGUAGACGGAGAUCUGGUGUACUUGGGUGCAACACCAGCGGAGCACUUCUAAUAGCGUAAGCUUCCUUUACCACUUCAAAAAAGUGUGACUUGCUAUAUGUUAAUACCUUUAGUUCUCCUAAUGCAGAUUGGUUUUUCUGGUUACUUGAGUUGCUUUUAAGGCCGUGGCUUCUUCUUGGAGUCCAAAGCAUGAGAAGAUGCAGAAGAACUUGAGUACAAAGUUAGCUGUGGCAAUAAGAAGUGUUCAAUGGAGUUAUGACAUUUUAUGUUCACCUUCAACAACCCAAGAUGGGUAAUCAAUUUAAAAACAAAAACUUUUUAGAAUACAAAAAACAAUGCCACUUUUCUCUCAUGAUAUGAAGUUUCUAUUUUGGUAAUUUUGAUUCUUUUGAGUCUUGUGUAUAUGAUGAUCAUUGUGUUCCGUUAGUUUCAUGAAUAGGUUGUCUUGUCAGAACUUUUUGAGACAUACAUAAGGCUUUCGUUACGCAGAAAAAAAAACAUGUUAUUCAUACUUCAUUUAGUUUAUGACUUCAUCAGCCUUUAAGAAUUAGCAUGUAAGUACUUCUGUCUUGGAUCCAACUUUCUGCCCUGUUUUAUGUAAUUAAACUUUCAGUGAGUUACACCAUUGAUGAUAGCAAGGCCCCUAUAUUUGAUUUGUUAUUAUAAUCUAUUUAAUCUUUCUUUAUGAUGCUAUGAUUUUCGAAUUUUUCCCUCCCAUUUGAUCCUAUAUCUCCAUGUUCCAUUAUCUUUUCUUUAUAAUUUGAAGUCUGAGAUCAUUGUCUCUUGACAAUACUGAUAAAACAUCCAUGGGGUCACUGAUAUUUGGUGCAGUCAUAUAAUAUCAUUUUUUUUUUCAAUUUGAUGAGUAUAACUACAUGAGUGUUGUAUAGUUAAAUGGAUGAAACUUUGGUGGUCUUAUAUAAAAACUUUAUAUCAAUUAUUCUCUUUUAUUCUCACAUUUACUAGUGCAUUUAUUUUUGUAUUACUUGGAUAUCUAUACUCUUUUGGAUUCAUCUUUGUGUUUUUUACUCUAUUGACAAAAAUGAUUUCAAGUCUUUAGGAAUGGUGAUUUUUUGGCAAUUUGUUUGGUAUAAAGAAUGCUAAACUUCAUAAUUUCUGGCAAAUAUUUUGGGGUCAAUAUAAAUUAAGCUGUCAAAAAAUUAUUAGCAAAAUAUAAGAAAUGGGCUAUAGUAACGGAGGAAUGUGAUUGAUCUCUUAGCAAACAAUAUAUCAUUGAGUUAUUUGAAUUCUUUCUAGAACUUGUAUGUUAUUUUAUGUUUGGUACUU